This 368-nucleotide unclassified non-coding RNA is filed under the name fungal sp. RNAcentral describes it as "partial internal transcribed spacer region". The stretch from base 1 to 46 matches the Rfam family "Eukaryotic small subunit ribosomal RNA", at positions 1786 to 1831 of the family's 1831-position model. Lineage: Eukaryota; Fungi. The record is from RNAcentral.
AAGUCGUAACAAGGUUUCCGUAGGUGAACCUGCGGAAGGAUCAUUACCAAUCCAAAACUUUUAUAAACCACUUUGUGCACUAUGAACCCGAAUCCUUACCCCUUUCAAUUACAAACAGGCAAUUUUCAUUGUCUUUUUGUGAAAGGGAGGGGUAAGGAGUUUUUUCCUCUCUCUGUUUCCUUCACUCCUUUUUUGGAGUUUGGAGACAGAGGAGGUUAAGACAAACAUAACUAAAAACAUUCUUUCUUUAAAAAACACUCUUAACAGUCAUGUUAAAAGGAUUUUUUCAAAAAUCUUACAUGUUUGAAUGCUUAUAGCAAACAAAACUAAAAAAAUGACAACUUUUAACGGUGGAUCUCUUGGCUCGU